CGAAUGGCUCAUUAAAUCAGUUAUGAUCUACGUGACAUAUUCUUUACUACUUGGAUAACCGUGGUAAUUCUAGAGCUAAUACAUGCAAAAAAACGAAUGGGUGCACUUAUUAGAUAAAGCCAACGCUGGGUAAAACCAGUUUCCCUUGGUGAUUCAUAAUAAUUAAGCGGAUCGCAUGGCCUUGGCUAGCGUACAGUCCACUCGAUUUUCUGCCCUAUCAUGGUUGAGAUUUGUAAGAUAGAGGCUUACAAUGCCUACAACGGGUAACCGGGGAAUUAGGGUUCGAUUCCGGAGAGGGAGCCUGAGAAACGGCUACCACAUCCAAGGAAGGCAGCAGGCCGCAAAUUACCCAAUCCCGACACGGGGAGGUAGUGACAAUAAAUAACAAUGCAGGGCCUUUAAGUGUCUUGCAAUUGGAAUGAGUACAAUUUAAAUCCCUUAACGAGGAUCAAUUGGAGGGCAAGUCUGGUGCCAAGCAGCCGCGGUAAUUCCAGCUCCAAUAGUUUAUAUUAAAGUUGUUGCAGUUAAAACGUCCGUAGUCAAAUGUUUAGUCUUUAGAUGACGGUGGCCUGGUCUUUCAUUGAUCAAGCUCGCUUUUAUCGAGACUUUUUUUCUGGUUAUGCUAUGAAUAGCUUCGGUUGUUUAUAGUCUCUAGCCAGAUGAUUACCAUGAGCAAAUAGAGUGUUUAAAGCAGGCUUUCAAGCUUGAAUGUGUUAGCAUGGAAAAUGAAAUAUGACUUUAGUCCCUAUUUCGUUGGUUCAGGAACUUAAGUAAUGAUGAAUAGAAACGGUUGGGGACAUUUGUAUUUGGUCGCUAGAGGUGAAAUUCUUGGAUUGACCGAAGACAAACU
Molecule: ribosomal RNA, 850 nt
Filed under: uncultured fungus
Lineage: Eukaryota; Fungi
Description: SSU rRNA
Rfam family: Eukaryotic small subunit ribosomal RNA
Source: RNAcentral